This 503-nucleotide ribosomal RNA is filed under the name uncultured bacterium. RNAcentral's name for it is "partial 16S ribosomal RNA". It matches the Rfam family "Bacterial small subunit ribosomal RNA", at positions 28 to 523 of the family's 1533-position model. The record is from RNAcentral.
GAUGAACGCUAGCGGCAGGCCUAACACAUGCAAGUCGAGGGGUAGCAGGAUUAAGCUUGCUUAAUUGCUGACGACCGGCGCACGGGAGCGUAACGCGUAUGCAACCUACCUUAUACUGGGGUAUAGCCCGGAGAAAUUCGGAUUAAUCCCCCAUAGUACUAAUGAAUCGCAUGGUUUAUUAGUUAAAGCAUUGCGGUAUAAGAUGGGCAUGCGUCCUAUUAGCUAGAUGGUGAGGUAACGGCUCACCAUGGCUACGAUAGGUAGGGGGACUGAGAGGGUGGUCCCCCACACUGGUACUGAGACACGGACCAGACUCCUACGGGAGGCAGCAGUGAGGAAUAUUGGUCAAUGGGCGCAAGCCUGAACCAGCCAUGCCGCGUGCAGGAAGAAUGCCCUAUGGGUUGUAAACUGCUUUUAUUUGGGAAUAAACCUCUUUACGUGUAGAGAGCUGAAGGUACCAAAUGAAUAAGCACCGGCUAACUCCGUGCCAGCAGCCGCCGUAA